UGAUUGAUGAGGUGUAUGACAAUUCAUGGAUCAGAUGUAGGAAGCAAUAAUUGAAUCGGGAUAGCAUGCAUAGGGCUUAAGAUCAGGGCGAAAGGUGUAGUCAAUGGACAACAAGUGAAUAUUCUUAUACUAACCCUUGUUGGUCUCGAGGGACGGAGGAGGCUAGGUUAGCCGAAAGGUGGUUUAUCGGUUCAAGAAAACAAGGUAACCUUUCUUUUUUUCUCAAGGUAAGAAGGCCUAGAGGAAAUGCCACGAGCCAAUGUCCAAGUACCAGGCACCACGGUGCUUAAGUAACCCAUGCCAUACUCCUAGGAAAAACUCGAACACAGGUGGGUUGGUAGAUAAUACCUAGGGGCACAAGACAACUCUCUCUAAGGAACUCGGCAAAAUAGCCCCGUAACUUCGGGAGAAGGGGUGCUUCCUCACAAAGGGGGUCGCAGUGACCAGGCCCUGGCGACUGUUGACCAAAAACAUAAGUCUCCGCAAAGUCAUAAGACCAUGUAUGGGGGCUAACGCCUGCCUAGUAUCGAAAGGUCAAGGAAGUCGGUGACCUGAUGAUAAGGGAGUCGGAGACCGAAGCACCGCUGAACAGCUGUCAUAACUGUAAUGGUCCUAGGGUAGCAAAAUUCCUUAUCAGAUAAGUCCGACCUGCAUGAAAGGCAUAACGAUUUGGGCAUUGUCUAGGAGAGAGGCUUGGUGAAAU
Molecule: non-coding RNA, 703 nt
Filed under: Amborella trichopoda
Lineage: Eukaryota; Viridiplantae; Streptophyta; Magnoliopsida; Amborellales; Amborellaceae
Description: Bacterial large subunit ribosomal RNA
Rfam family: Bacterial large subunit ribosomal RNA
Source: Rfam by way of RNAcentral